UGUUCAGAAAAAUUCUCAGUUUGUUUUGCUCUAUUUUUAGGGUGAUAGGAUACAAGGUUCUAUUUGCAGUUCAGUACUUAAACAAUUCAAAUCAGAAAUCAAAGAGCGUGGAUUAUAUUUUAUACAGACUUUAUUGUCUGGAAAAAUACUUUCAAAUUUCGGCUCACAACUCAUAAGUUGAAGCUUAGUUUUACUCUUCGCACAAAUGUCACUGAACUUUUUGAUCCAUCUUUUUCAUUGAACUUCUUCCACUUUUGAUCUUUUGCACAUUUGAUAAAUAAGAUAUCUGUGGACGAAACAAAAUUAUUUGAUAAGAAAUAAUUGCCUUAACUUUUAAUAUAUUAUGUUUUAUAGUAAUAGUAAUAUUAACAUAUUUUAAUAUUAUAAAUAUUAUCGAAGAAAUUGUCAAUUUCGGAUAGAUACAAACUCACUAUAUGGGAGGUAAUUCUAGAAAGUUCAUUAAUAUUGAUUUAAAAGAUGACGAGUAAGAAAAAAUAUUUACUCUAUAAUAAUUUAUGUAAUGUCUAUAUAGUCAUUUUCAUACAAGUUUCUUUUUAAAAUUAUAUCUGCCGAUAACAACAUUAAUCAGCAACAUUUUUUAUUUUAUUUUCAGAAACAACAUGAUAUCUGCAACGUUUUAGGGUGAAUUUGUUGGUCAAAUUGUGCCACAACUUUCAGAUUCUGACAACAAAACUAUUGUUGUUGCUAUUCAACUUAUGCAGUCGCACAAAUUUCAAGGUGAUAAUAAGUAUUUACAUUUAUUUACUUAUUAUAAAAUAAGUAUAUCUUACUGAAAUUUUUUGAUAGAUUCCAUGCUGUGUACAAUACGUGAAAUGCCUCGAAGCUUUGGAUCAACCCGACUGAUGCUCAAUCUGAAGAGUUUAAAAAAUGAUAUAUUAUACAUUUCACUAUCAUAUGUGUGUGUGUAUGUGUUUCCCCAAACAACAAAGUAAUUUUAUGAGUUACAUAUGUAGAUUGCUAUCUAUUCAAGACAGAAACUCAGACAGAUUAACAAGUAUCAUUAGUACCAUCUCUCAUAAAAGUUUCUCUGUCUCAGAUGAAUUAUCUAAAAACACUAUUGAAGUCAAAACACUAUCUAAAUUCUUGGAGAUUGUUGAAGUUAGUAUACCUUUUCUAAAAUUAUGUAUUGACAUGUUUCCAUGUAUCAUACAUAGAUGCUAACCAAGUUAUAAUUUUAUUCAUCUAAUUAAUAGGAAGGUUCUCAAUGUUGUAUAGUUGCCACUAUUGAAUUGUUAAAUCUAGACAAUGGAUAGUCAAAUACUGGAUGCACUAAGUGUCGUAAGAAGACGAAAUAAGUGAAACACUUAUUUUUGCACAAACACAAAAUGUAACUAUGAAGAUUCCCUUGUUGUUUUAAGGUAAACAUAUAUUUUUUUAUUUCAUAAUUAAUAUACAAAACUUUAUAUAAAAAAAUAUUUUACUAUUUUGGUACAGGAUUCAAGUUAUGGUUAUGGGCUGUACUGGACCUAUUUUAUUGAUUAUAUGGGAUACUGAUGUCACAUCUCUAAUUGGCAAGUCUUCAACUGAAUUGAAGAAUGAAUUAAAUAAGGUAUAUAUAUUUAUACUAUAUAUUACAACACAUAUUUGUUAUUUAAAUAAUGACUAACAAAUAUUUCUACUUUCUAGAAUACUGACAAUGAUGAUGCACCUUCUUAUCCAACGGAAUUGAAUAAUAUUCUACAAUAAAAAUUCAAUUUUAAGGUGAUUGUCAAGAGCGAAAAUAUUCAUAACCAUGAUAAAAUUUACAGUGUUGUUUAGAUUUUAGGUGAUGAAGAACUGAUCAAGAAAUAUUCUCCUAAAGAAUCAGAUACAUCCUAAAAAACUUAUUCCCACUUACAAUUAUUUUUCAUACUUAUAUUUUAUUUAAAAAAAAUAAUGUGUUAUAGGAUCAUAAAUUCAACAGUCAAGGUUCAGCUGAAGAGAAAGAAUUCAAAGUAAUUACACAUACAAUUUAAUAUUACAUGUUGAUAAAUAUAUGUUCGCUAAAUACCUAUUAAGUUAUAUGAUUAUAUUUUCUUAUAUCUAACUUUUAAAUUCAUAUUUUACAAUAGAAAGCGGCACACGACACUGACAUGUUAACUCCCCUAAAGACAUAUUCAAAGAGGACUAGAUCAUAAAAAAGGGUAAAUCAGUUAUCGUUGAUGAAGAUGUCAAUUUUGAACACUCAAGUAACAAGGUUCACAAAAGUUUUAGAAAGGAAAAGAAGCCAUCAUCUGCUGGAUAUUUAUGAAUUUUGUCAUAUUAUUUCUGUAAUUUAGUAUCCAAAUAGUAAUCUAGCAAAUUAUUACAUAUUGUGGAUUUUAUCAUUAGGUAUUUGUAUCCUAUUACGUUUUAAAAUUUUAUCAUGUUUAUUAAUUAAAUGACAUUUGACAACAAACACGAGAUAUUAGACUAUCUAUCUAUAUAUAAAAGCAAAACAUAAGUAAGACAAGAUGCCACGUGUCAAGCUAUUAAAUUAGCUAUGUGGCAAUUUUUAAGACAUUAAUAAAAAAUAUUUUAAGAUAAAGUUACAAAUAUUGUAAUAAAAUUUUUGAAUUGAAAAAUUAAGUAUUUGAAUUUGAAUAAAUUAUCCUUUUACAAAAAAGUUUUUCAUUAUCUUAAAAAUAGAAACUAAUAAUUAAAGAGUUCUAAUAGAUAUAUACUAUUUCAUAUUUAUCUCUUAUAAAAUUUAAAUGUUAUAAAAUAUAUUUAAUUAUAAUUUAUUUACACACUAGGAAAGAUAAAAAACUAUAAUAACAAUAAUAAUAAUAAUAAUAAUAAUAAUAAUAAUAAUCUAUAUAAUAAUAAUAAUAAUAAUAAUCUAUAUAAUAAUAAUAAUAAUAAUAAUCUAUAUAAUAAUAAUAAUAAUAAUAAUCUAUAUAAUAAUAAUAAUAAUAAUAAUCUAUAUAAUAAUAAUAAUAAUAAUAAUCUAUAUAAUAAUAAUAAUAAUAAUAAUCUAUAUAAUAAUAAUAAUAAUAAUAAUCUAUAUAAUAAUAAUAAUAAUAAUAAUCUAUAUAAUAAUAAUAAUAAUAAUAAUCUAUAUAAUAAUAAUAAUAAUAAUAAUCUAUAUAAUAAUAAUAAUAAUAAUAAUCUAUAUAAUAAUAAUAAUAAUAAUAAUCUAUAUAAUAAUAAUAAUAAUAAUAAAUAGUAGUCCGUAGUGAUAAUGCUUACCAGAAAAUGUGUAUAGCAAUAAUAAUGUUGUGGUGAUAUUAUAAUAAUAAUAAUAAUAAUAAUAAUAAUAAUAAUAAAGGAAUUAAUAAUGAAGUGAUGCUGUAACACCUGUAGUAGUAGUAGUAAUAAUACUUCAUCUAAAUAAAUAAUUUUAGCCUUUUCAUUUUGUCUCUCUCUAUAUAUGGUGUUUUAAAUUUAUAUGAAGAUAAAUGAUAGAGACUAUGUUGGAGAUACUAUUUUAAAUUAUAACUCAAAAUAAUGAAUUGAUAAAUAAAUGUUUGAAUUUAGAAUGAAAUAUUUAAAUUUUUUAAUUGAAGAUAUGAUAAAAGAUCAUAUUCAAAAUUGAAUAUGAAAAUACCUUUUCAAUAUGCAAAUUUUAUUUAGUUAUUUAGUAACUUUUUGAACUUUUCAAUUUAAAUUAAAAAGACAUUAAAGAUUCUAUUGAAAAAAAUAAGCUUUGAAAUAUAAAGAGAUAACUUUAUUAAUUUAUUAGAACUAGAUAAUAAUUCUGUAACAAAAAAAUAGAAAUAUAUAGUAUAGUUUAUUUAGAACUCUUUUACAGUUUCCUUAAGCCUAUCCUAUCAGAUAUUGUAACCUCAUACAAUCUCUUAUUUAAAAAUUUAAAAUUACAACCAUUUUUUUAUUCAAAUGAAUAUGUCAACUAGCUAUAUAAAUAAGAAUAUAUUUCAUUCUGUCUCCCUCUCUACUAUUAAUAAUAGCUUCUUCUCCUCUUUUUUCUUUUAUUUUUAUUGUAAACACGUGAUUUUUUAUCCUCCCUAAAUUUUAACUUAUUUAUCAAUAUUAGAUAUUUAUAUUUGGUAUAAUAUUAUGCAAUUACUUAUUUUUAUUUUAAUUGAGUUUUAGUUAAAUAUAUAUAUAUAUAUAUAUAUAUAUAUAAUGAUAAAUAAAGUUAAUUUUGAGAUAUUUUUUAUUUUUAUCCUAAUAAUACAAAAAUCCAAAAAUAUAUGUAUAUUAUUUAUUCUAAAAUUUUAAUAAAUAAAUUAGUAAUUGUAAUACUAUUUUAUUAUAUUUUUGUCUAUUUAUAAAUUAUUAUUAUGUUUUAUUAAAUAUAAAAUUAAUUGAUUAUUAUUAUUUUUUUUAUUUAUUUACUUUUAUUUAUUUAUUAUUAUUAUUAUCUUUAUUAUUACUAUUAUUUUCUAUUUAAUAUAUAUAUAUAUAUAAAAUUAAUUGGAAUUUCAAAUGAUCCCUCUUUAUUUUUUAAAAAACCUCCCCUCAGUAAAAAAAAAUUGUUCCCCCAAAAAGUCCAUCUUUCUAAGAAUUUUCACCUAUCAAAAACAACGUACAUUCAUCUGGAGACAAAAAAAAAAACGAAGUAUAUAAAGCAGAGAGAAAAAUACAUAAAGAAAACUUAGAAGAAGAAAGAAGGAAAAAAAGAGUUGUGAAAGAGUUUUGUAAUUUCGUUCAAAAGUUUUCCGUGACAACAUUUCUUGCUGUAGUAUUUAUUUAAGUCAUCAACAGUUUCUUCUAUAAUUCUAUAUUCCUUACUGUAUUAAAUUUUAUUAGGAAUUAGAGUAUGAAUUUAUUUGUUAUUAUAUAUUGUAUAUUAAAUUAUAGAAUAUUUAUAUAAAUGUCAAAUUUGAUAUGCCGAGAAAAACAGUAAAAAUGAACAUUAUUAUUACUCCAUGUACCACAGUAUGCAUAUAUGUUCAUCUGUUAUAUGUACAUAGAAACGACGUGUUCUUCAAUUCUUUUUCACUGUAUAACAGAUCAAAUAUGGAUAUACAGAGAUAAAUAUAUAUAUAUAAAAAUAACAAUAAAAUUUAUUUACGAAGCCAUCCUUUUCAGAAUCGUUCCCUCACGGGAAUGUAAUGUCUGCUUUCAAAAAAUCAGAUCAAGAAAAAAAAAAUACCAAAAUUGAUUAUUUUCGAGUUGACUCCGGUUGGUUCUUACAGGAGUGUUACGAUCACUCCGUUACGCCUCCCAUCGGUGAGACAGCAAUGUCGUCACUUUCUCCUCCUUCACCAACCGCCGCUGCCACAGUCUUCCCUUCCCUCUUUCCCGCGUCGCCGAAAAAUCCAUUAAAACCGGCGACCUUCCGCCGAUAACCACCUCUUCCCCUUCCCCAACACCGGCGAAGCCACCUGCGCUGCCAUCAACCUCUUCCUUUCUCUCCCCACGUUGGAUCUGGUCGGAGCCGCCGUUACAGGCGCGCCUCCACCGGCCAUCAACACCGGCCAGCCCCUCUCUUUUUCCCUUUUCCCGUUAUUCCCCUAUUCUCGUCGGAGCCAGAUCUGGCCGGAAUUGUCACAAAAGCGAACCAACCUUCCCCCUCGCUGCCCGCCGAAAAACCAUUAUCAUCCUUUCCCUUCAUCUCCUCCAAACCGCUGGUUAACUAAAAUCGGCACCACUAAUCCACCAUCGUCGUUGCCUUGUCUGAAUAGAACAAGGUUAAUGUCUCUGUAGUUAACAGUAGUUAUGUAAAUAGCAAUAAGUCUAAGAAAGAAAAAUAAAGAAGAAAAAAUGAGAUUUGUUAGUUGUAUUAUACGUAUGUUUUGAUAGAUAUGUGUAGUUAUAGUUAUUUUAUAAAUUAGUGGAUAAAAACUAGUAGUAUGAAUCAUUUUUUUUAUAUAUUAUUUUAUUAGUUAUAAGGAUGAGGUUUUAUUAUUUUAAAAUUAAUUCAUUAUUUUAAUAAAUAAAAAUAAAAUUGCUUCAGAUUACUAUUAGUGUUAAGUAGAAUUUUG
This 5873-nucleotide long non-coding RNA is filed under the name Capsicum annuum. Its description in RNAcentral is "long non-coding RNA (CANN_LNC021139)". Lineage: Eukaryota; Viridiplantae; Streptophyta; Magnoliopsida; Solanales; Solanaceae. The record is from RNAcentral.